RNAcentral lists this ribosomal RNA (253 nucleotides) under uncultured bacterium. RNAcentral's name for it is "partial 16S ribosomal RNA". It matches the Rfam family "Bacterial small subunit ribosomal RNA", at positions 524 to 776 of the family's 1533-position model. The record is from RNAcentral.
UACGAAGGGUGCAAGCGUUAUUCGGAUUUAUUGGGUGUAAAGGGUGCGUAGACGGCAUGUUAAGUCCGCUGUUAAAUUUCCCAGCUUAACUGGGAGCCAGCGGUGGAUACUGAUGUGCUAGAGGAUUUGAGGGGGGAUUGGAAUACUUGGUGUAGCAGUGAAAUGCGUAGAUAUCAAGUGGAACACCAGUGGCGAAGGCGAAUCCCUGGAAAAUACCUGACACUGAGGCACGAAAGCUAGGGGAGCAAACAGG